This 4120-nucleotide unclassified non-coding RNA is filed under the name Harpegnathos saltator (Jerdon's jumping ant). Its description in RNAcentral is "uncharacterized LOC105181960, transcript variant X1". Lineage: Eukaryota; Metazoa; Arthropoda; Insecta; Hymenoptera; Formicidae. The record is from RNAcentral.
GCGGAAUUCGCCGGCGGCGAAUAAUAAUGCAGCCGAUGACGGCAUCAAAAUAGAUACCGGCCGGUAAAUUGUCGAAAUGGACGUGCGUCGACGACGCUACGCGGCGCGUCACGCAGCAGCGGGCGACGGUGACGACGCUCUUCCAGUGGGAGAAGCUGCUAAAAUUAGAGGUGCUCACGAGAGAGUAGAGUUGAGCCGCGCGUUUCACCGGCAUCAUCAUCAUCAUCCUCCUCCUCUUCUCCGGACGAGAACUCACUUCCGAGUAGUCCUCGGGACCGAUUGGACGAUAUCCCGCGUGUCGCUUAUCCGCUUAUCGCGGCGCGUUACCGCGAUCAUGGCGAUUCCUCGGGCACCUUCGGCACCGAUAAGCGCGCUCUCGUAGACGUCGACGUUAUCAUCGAGAGAGAGAGAGAGAGAGAGAGAGAGAGAGAGAGACGGCAGAAAGGAAGGAGAUGUCCGCGGUCCGAGAGAUCAUCGCCGGCCGAUCGUUAGCCGGAUUCUUCGUCUUCGCAGUGUGCAUCGUGUCACUGACGUCCGGUCUCGCGCAGAUCGCAGGGAGAAAGUGCGUGUGCACGAGCAAGGCCUGCAGGCAAACCGGAGCGGACGUGUGCAGCACCAGAUUCUCCUGCUACACCGAGUUCAUUUUGACAACGGGACAAGAGCUCGGUGAGAGCAUCACCACGAGAGGAUGCACCGAGAGUGCCACGCCGUUGCUGUGCGAGACCAAGUUUUGGGCUACGAGGUCGCGGUCGGCCAACAACGUGGAGCCACCGGCGAGCCUGUGGCUCCACGUGCCCUGGCUAAGGCUGGAGUGCUGCGACAGCCACGACUACUGCAACGCCGCCGACGACGACGGCGGCUCGAACGCGAGCACGUGGAUGGCCCAGAGGAAGCUGUUGGACCCGCCGCGCUCCGCGCUGAAUCUCGGCCCGCCGGAGAGCAGCUUGCCGGAGAAUCGCGACGCGACGCCGACGAUACGGGACGACCGGCAGCAUGAGGAUUCCGUGGAGCUCAGCAGCGAUCGAUUUCCGCGGGGCCGCGUCAAGGCGCUGCACGUCGCCGCCCUCGUCCUCGCCGUCGCGGCCCUCAUAUCCGUCCUGGCGUCUUGCUACGUGGUCACAAGGUUUUUUCAGAAUCGAUAGGCGCUUUUGCUCACCUGCACCGGUUACGCUCUGCAGAUUCUUGCGCGACAUUUCAGUACAGUUCAGUCUUCAGCAAACGCUGUCUCGAGUCCGGUGUACAGAUUCCGUUCGCGCGACCGCGUGGGCAUAGUGUGCAAUUUUGAGUAACUUUGGUAUCUUGUUAGUUACACUAUCGACUGUGUCUUGACUGGGUUUUCACGUGUCUGGCAGAGGAUAAGACGACAGGAAUACAAAGGAGGUCCUCUGCGAUUUCUACGGCGUAAUAAAAUAAGUAAAAGUAAGUCGCACGAUGAAACAUGUGACGCCACUGUAGCGAAAGGAGACGUCGAUACGCGUUACCGCGACCGUUCCGUGCUGUCGCUAAUUAGCGUUGGAUAUAAUUAACGCUCGACGCAGAUAAAUCUGUUUGAAAGCAGCCUUGGCUGAAGCGGACCACCCUGUAAUGUAACAGAUCGUGAGUAUCGAGGCCACGAGGCGAGCGUACGCGCUUAUAGUAACCACCCACACGGCCGCAGGACUUGUUUUUCCCACGUGAAACGGCAAAUCAUUUCGAGAUUUUCUCGAGCGGCAAAUCCGCGAUGAGACCUCCGCCGAUUCUCACAAUGGCCGAGCACGCGAGUCGACCGUGGAUCCCGUUUACGGAUACCCACGACUCCGCGUGAAAAGAUCAUAUCGCGUAUAAACAAUCAAUCUGUGUACGUGUCGUGCGUGCGUGUGUUUGUGCAUAAUAUCUCUCUUGCACGUAUCAUUACGCCGAUCUCGCCGAUCGGUGUAGUAUUCUAAAUGUUACGCGCGCUCCGAAAAGAGAGACAGACAGACAGAGAGAGAGAGAGAGAGAGAGAGAGGAGAGAGAGAGAGAGGGAGAGGGAGAGAGAGAGAGAGGGAGAGAGAGAGAUGGUGAAGACGAGAGAUAAAAAUCUUCGCUAUGCAUUUUACACACAUGCCCGCACGCGUCACGUCGGUGUUUUUCUCCCUAGUUGCCUAAUUGACAACAUUCCUGCAUUUCGGACCCACUCGCGUCGCGUUAUCCGCCCACGAGAUUUCUUUCUUUCCAUCUUCUGCGAAUGGGCCGAUCACGCCCCGUCGCAGUAGUUUGUCAAUGAUGCACUAAAAACCACACAAGCCGCCCUCUUAUCAGUCUACCUCCCGGCGAAGGGCUCGAUCACCGGGUCUCCGCGUCCCGAAAGGCGUAGAUAGCGGAAACACGAAGGCUCCACUCACCGCCUGCCCUCUAAUCUUCGUCGUCCGAAUGGUUAAGUGGGUUUUCGAGUUCGGGAAUGUCCCGGUCCCGAGCAAGUCUCUUAUACACCUCGGAGAGAACGCUAGUCGUUAGUUCCCUCCUUAUUUUCUUUUUAUCGUGACUCGAAUGGGCCGUAUAGCGCCGCGGCUUCCAGGAUGCGCGACCACUUCUUCGCGUUUCACGCGAAGGCGAUAAAGGCCGUAGGGACCGAAGGGCCCUUUUCGGGGCCUGAUUCAGAUUCUUACGUGCACGCGUAUCGUGGAAAUGUAACCGCGGCGUUUUUAUAAUCGCCAAAUGCACCGGCGAUGAGACAGAGGACCGAUUUAAGAGCGGGCCAUUAAAAGCAGAGGAUAAUUCGCUUAUCCCAGAUAGGUAUUAUUUUAUACGAUAGCGCACGACUAUACAUUACGAUAGCCAGCGGGAGGAACUGUGCUGCCUCGGGUCGUAAAUAACGGGCCGAAGGAGAUGGCGGAUAUUGAUCUUUUUUUCGCGAGAAAACGCGCGCGGGAAGAAUCGAUAAGCUGCCUUACAUCAGUCGGUCGUUGUUGAUCUCACGUCGAAUAUACACACACGGAUAUAUUAAAUCGAGUUUUAUCUUUAUUUUAUUACGUUUAUCUUUCCUUUCGCGCGAAGAUUAAUUCAUUGGAAACAGAAAGAAAGAAAGGAAGAAAGAAAGAAAGAACAGAGAGUUAUUUGCACGACGAGGAUCCGAUAUUUUACGAAGUCGCAUUAGGUAAACGAUGGAACGUUGAUGAUGCGACAUCAAUAUACGUUGAACGUCAACAGCGAACACCGCGAACACGGCCCCGCUGCUGUCUGCGGUUACAUUCAAAUGUAAAUUCAUUCGAGCCUACCAGAAAUCUCAAUGUCAUUGUCCCGUCUGAGGCCGACUGAGAGGAAGAGAGGAGAGAAAGAGAUAUCGAUCUCUCGGUCUAUGAUCCAAUUGAUCGUCGCGAACCUACGAGACCUCGGCUCGUAAUUGAUUCUUUCGACCAUUGUGCCGCUAACGAUCGUUUUAGUUCCACACGUUACGUGUCAAAGGAUUGUUUCCCAUCGCAUCGUUCACGGUUCCUGAUCCCCGUUGGACACAUCCGAAUAAGCCCGCAGGCUGUCGAGGUCCGGUUUUCAGCGAAGUCGAGUCCACAGCGCGAUGCGCGUCGAAUCGAUUUUUGAUUGCGAUUUAUACGCAGGAAGCGAAUCAACGGCCACGGUACCGCGACGAAUCCUCUUUCAAACCCUCGCGUGUCUAUCUCUCGUGAGAAGUACUAGCAGCAAAUUGCAAACACGCCCGUUUGAAUAGCCGCGGACAAGGUAGAACUGUGCAAAUUACACAUCGGAAUGAAAUUAAUUUAAUUAAUUUAAUUAAUUUCUCGUCGAAAUUAUGCACUACGCGACUAAUUAAGUCGAUCAAUUUUCCACGUAAUUUACACGAUUGGGUCAAUCAAAUUGACGGAAUAAGUUCUGAUGUUCCGGUUAAUCCGGUUGAUAAUUCGAUUAACAUUAAAGUAAAAGAGAAAUUUUAAUCGAAACGUUCCGUGUUGUAGGUUCCUAAGGAGCAAUCGUUAUACAAUGGACAGUGUAAAUUAAUUGUGAACGCGAUGCUGAGUCUUAAUUACAUUGUGAUUCCGUGGGAUAAUUGUGGUCUUUCCUUCAACGGGAAUCGAGUGAAUGCAAAUGAACGAAUGCACAUAGGAAUUACUGGAUACCGCGGGGGAGGUCCCAGAAGAGCCACGUCAGC